This 641-nucleotide long non-coding RNA is filed under the name Nicotiana benthamiana. Its description in RNAcentral is "long non-coding RNA (NBEN_LNC031450)". The record is from RNAcentral. Lineage: Eukaryota; Viridiplantae; Streptophyta; Magnoliopsida; Solanales; Solanaceae.
GCUGUUAGCAACUGGAAGGAAAUUGGCUGAUACAUUAAAUUUGAUUGACAUUAUUGAACGUCUUGGCAUCUCCUACCACUUUGAAAAAGAAAUUGAUGAGAUUUUGGAUCAGAUUUACAAUCAAAACUCAAACUGUGAUGAUUUGAGCACUUCUGCACUUCAAUUUCGACUGCUCAGGCAACAUGGUUCAAAACUCAAACUGCGAUGAUUUGAGCACUUCUGCACUUCAAUUUCGACUGCUCAGGCAACAUGGUUUCAACAUCUCUCCUGGUAAGUUCAUUAUAAAGCAUGCCUUAAUGUUGAUAAAAUUAUCAAUUUAUAGGAAGAAGGAAAAUUAAUCUUGAGUUUUCUUUCUUGAAAUACCAGAAAUUUUCCGCAAAUUCCAAGAUGAAAAUGGCAAAUUCAAAGAGUCUCUUGCUAGCGAUGUCUUAGGAUUAUUGAACUUGUAUGAAGCUUCACAUGUAAGGACUCAUGCUGACGAUAUCUUAGAAAAUGCACUUGCUUUCUCCAUUAUCCAUCUUGAAUCUGUAGCUCCACAUUUGAAAUCUCCAUUUAGGGAGCAAGUGAUACAUGCCCUUGAGCAAUGUUUGCACAAGGGCGUUCCUAGAGUCGAGACCCGAUUCUUCAUCUCAUCAAUCUAU